GAGAGAGGCUGGCAGCAAUGAGGACUGCUAAUCCCCAUGACCUUGGUUGGACUCCUAGGCUCACUCG
This 67-nucleotide transfer RNA is filed under the name Pseudorhombus pentophthalmus (fivespot flounder). RNAcentral's name for it is "tRNA-Ser". The record is from RNAcentral. Lineage: Eukaryota; Metazoa; Chordata; Actinopteri; Pleuronectiformes; Paralichthyidae.